This 339-nucleotide unclassified non-coding RNA is filed under the name soil metagenome. Its description in RNAcentral is "partial contains 5.8S ribosomal RNA, internal transcribed spacer 2, and large subunit ribosomal RNA". The stretch from base 1 to 120 matches the Rfam family "5.8S ribosomal RNA", at positions 35 to 154 of the family's 154-position model. The record is from RNAcentral.
GAUGAAGAACGCAGUGAAAUGCGAUAAGUAGUGUGAAUUGCAGAAUUCAGUGAAUCAUCGAAUCUUUGAACGCACAUUGCGCCCCUUGGUAUUCCAUGGGGCAUGCCUGUUCGAGCGUCAUUUGUACCUUCAAGCUCUGCUUGGUGUUGGGUGUUUGUCUCGCCUCUGCGCGCAGACUCGCCUCAAAACAAUUGGCAGCCGGCGUAUUGAUUUCGGAGCGCAGUACAUCUCGCGCUUUGCACUCAUAACGACGACGUCCAUAAAGUACAUUUUUUACACUCUUGACCUCGGAUCAGGUAGGGAUACCCGCUGAACUUAAGCAUAUCAAUAAGCGGAGGA